Molecule: ribosomal RNA, 353 nt
Filed under: uncultured bacterium
Lineage: Bacteria
Description: bacterial SSU rRNA
Rfam family: Bacterial small subunit ribosomal RNA
Source: RNAcentral
AGUGUAGUUAAUAGCUGCAUUAUUUGACGUUAGCGACAGAAGAAGCACCGGCUAACUCCGUGCCAGCAGCCGCGGUAAUACGGAGGGUGCGAGCGUUAAUCGGAAUUACUGGGCGUAAAGCGCAUGCAGGUGGUUUGGUUAAGUCAGAUGUGAAAGACCCGGGGCGUCAACCUCGGAAUUGCAUUUGUAAACUGGCAGACUAGAGUACUGUAGAGGGGGGUAGGAAUUUCAGGUGUAGCGGUGAAAUGCGUAGAGAUCUGAAGGAAUACCGGUGGCGAAGGCGGCCCCCUGGACAGAUACUGACACUCAGAUGCGAAAGCGUGGGGAGCAAACAGGAUUAGAUACCCUGGUAG